This 492-nucleotide ribosomal RNA is filed under the name uncultured bacterium. RNAcentral's name for it is "partial 16S ribosomal RNA". It matches the Rfam family "Bacterial small subunit ribosomal RNA", at positions 29 to 507 of the family's 1533-position model. The record is from RNAcentral.
AGUGAACGCUGGCGGCAGGCCUAACACAUGCAAGUCGAACGGCAGCACAGUAAGAGUUUGCUCUUACGGGUGGCGAGUGGCGGACGGGUGGGGAAUACAUCGGAACCUUCUUUUUCGUGGGGGAUAACGUAGGGAAACCUACGCUAAUACCGCAUACGACCUACGGGUGAAAGCAGGGGAUCUUCUCACCUUGCGCGAUUGAAUGAGCUGAUGUCGGAUUAGCUAGUUGGCGGGGUAAAGGCCCACCAAGGCGACGAUCCGUAGCUGGUCUGAGAGGAUGAUCAGCCACACUGGAACGGAGACACGGUCCAGACUCCUACGGGAGGCAGCAGUGGGGAAUAUUGGGCAAUGGGCGCAAGCCUGAUCCAGCGAUGCCGCGUGGGUGAAGAAGGCCUUCGGUUUGUAAAGCCCUUUUGUUGGGAAAGAAAAGCUGCAGAUUAAUACCCCGCUGUUCUGACGGUACCCAAAGAAUAAGCACCGGCUAACUUCGUG